CCUACGGGUGGCAGCAGUGAGGAAUAUUGGUCAAUGGACGGAAGUCUGAACCAGCCAUGCCGCGUGCAGGAAGACGGCUCUACGAGUUGUAAACUGCUUUUGUACAAGGGUAAACCUGAAUACGUGUAUUCAGCUGAAAGUACUGUACGAAUAAGGAUCGGCUAACUCCGUGCCAGCAGCCGCGGUAAUACGGAGGUUCCAAGCGUUAUCCGGAUUUAUUGGGUUUAAAGGGUGCGUAGGCGGUUUGAUAAGUUAGAGGUGAAAUGUCCGAGCUUAACUCGGGAACUGCCGCUAAUACUGUUGAACUAGAGAGUAGAUGCGGUAGGCGGAAUGUAUGGUGUAGCGGUGAAAUGCGUAGAGAUCACGAAGAACACCGAUUGCGAAGGCAGCCUACUAGACUGCCACUGACAUUGAUGCUCGAAAGUGAGGGGAUCAAACAGGAUUAGAUACCCCAGUAGUC
RNAcentral lists this ribosomal RNA (460 nucleotides) under uncultured bacterium. Its description in RNAcentral is "partial 16S ribosomal RNA". It matches the Rfam family "Bacterial small subunit ribosomal RNA", at positions 338 to 795 of the family's 1533-position model. The record is from RNAcentral.